UACGUAGGGGGCAAGCGUUGUCCGGAAUCAUUGGGCGUAAAGAGCGUGUAGGUGGCUCGGUAAGUCCGCUGUGAAAGUCCAGGGCUCAACCCUGGAAUGCCGGUGGAAACUGUCGGGCUAGAGUUCGGAAGAGGUGAGUGGAAUUCCUGGUGUAGCGGUGAAAUGCGCAGAUAUCAGGAGGAACACCAAUGGCGAAGGCAGCUCACUGGGACGAUACUGACGCUGAGACGCGAAAGCGUGGGGAGCAAACAGG
Molecule: ribosomal RNA, 253 nt
Filed under: uncultured bacterium
Lineage: Bacteria
Description: partial 16S ribosomal RNA
Rfam family: Bacterial small subunit ribosomal RNA
Source: RNAcentral